UCAUAAAGAGAGUAAGACUUUGGUUUCAUUUACAUUCUGUGGAAUUAGUCUCAAAUUCACCACACAGCUUCUAUUGUUACGCUUUGCUCUGAUGAGGAGAAAAACUCUGCCUUUGUAAGAAAAGAAUGUAGGUUAAUUAUAUACAACUUUUUAGUAGGAAAUCACACCAAGACGCGUCACGAUAGGAGAAGUAGCCAGAACCUAAUAAAGCACCAUAAACCGCUUGGCAUUUCAUUCACAGACUGUUCAGUCUGGCUCCUCAUCUUCCUCCUGAGCUCAGAUCCUGAACGGCGGCUCCUUUAAUUGUUACAGCUCUCACAUUCACCGCGGCUACAGUUGGACCAUGCAGGCUCUGCUGGUACCGGGCUCUGCUGGUUCCAGUCUGUGCUGGUUCUGGGCUCUGCCGGUUCCUCUGCAGACAGUUCAGAGGUCGGAGGUCGGGUACAUCCAGGCCCCAGUGGAUCCACGAGGGAGUCAGUGUCUGGGAACCCUUCAGCCCUUCAGCUCGAUCGCAGCCACGAGAACGCAGGUGCUCUGGGACCGCGUUUGGAGAUUUAUUGCUUGUGGAUCGGUGUCGGCAUUCCAUGUGUGGACCAAUAGAGAGGCACGCGUCGUACCUGCUGGGUCGUUGGUGUGACACAGAGCGAACACCACGACCCCAACGCUUAAAUAAUUAGUGUGUUUAGGUCUCUUUGACAUCACGGUCCUGCUCGUUGCAUUGAACACGCAGUUGGUAACUAGUGUGGAGCCUGUGUUGAUGGUUCCUUAUGGGAAAACGUGUGGGCAUGAGAAAAAUAGAUCAAAACAGCCAUAAUAUGCAAAAAAACAAAUCCUUUGGUCUAUUUGUUAUUAAAGGAAAAACUUCAAAUCCCCUUUAUCCUGCCGGAGGCUGUGAAGUCAAGACACACAAGCAGAGGUUUUAAUUUUUCAUCAUAAAAUUCAACAGAAGAUAAAACAGCCACAGCGGCUGUUCCAGAGUAUUUCCUUAUUCAUUUGUCCUAAGCUGCAGGUCACAUCUUGGGACCGAGUCUGCCGCGGUCCCGGACUGAGCAGAACCGCUGCCGACUCCAGCCCUCGGGUCACGGUGCAUGUGAAGUGAAUCAGCGCGGGGGGGGGGCCGAGCCCGCUCAUAAAUUACACCGGCCCGGUUCUGCUCUCGUCUGGGCUCUGCUCUCGGGUCCGGCCCGGCCCGUCGAGGCUCCGCCGCCUCACACCCCGUCACAGGUGCUCCAGCGCCGCCGCCGCCGCAGAGUGGUUUCACACAUGGAGGAAGAGUCCAUUCCUCCCUCCUGCCAGAAUCCAAUCCGGCCGGAGGUCACGUCCCCUCGCGUGUUCACACAGGGAGUAUAAUAACGAAAGCCCACUUCCCUCCUGUUAUAUCCAUCCACUCCUCUCUCCUGUCACUGUUUGUACAAAUGGUAUCAACUAAUAACGUGCGCGUACAGUGUCAUUACUGUGAAAGCAGCAGGAAAUGUGUCAUGGGCCCCUUUUCCUGCCUCAUCAACGCGACUCCCUCCGCCCCCCGUCCACCUUCUGCCCAUUAAUCGGAAGGUCUAAAUUACAAGUAAUCACUACCAGGUUCUGUUUUACUGCCCAGACAAUCGGAAUUUACUCAUCCGUCUCCCUGUUUAAACUAUCUGCUGGAGAACGGCAAAGCCCGCUGCUUAUUUCCCAACGAUUAGCUGUACAUCAGCAUUACCACCUCAAAUCCAGCAGUUUCACAUCCAGCAUUAAAUAGGAUGAAUAUUGAUCUGCUAAAGAGGAUUUAUUUUUUUCAUGCUCUAUCCAAAGAUCAACUGCUACCAGCUUUGGACGGAUCUGUGAAGGUCUUACUGAAUAAAGCUACUGCAUACAUGACUUUGGACUUGACA
Molecule: long non-coding RNA, 1871 nt
Organism: Betta splendens (Siamese fighting fish)
Lineage: Eukaryota; Metazoa; Chordata; Actinopteri; Anabantiformes; Osphronemidae
Source: Ensembl